AUUGAGCGCUGGCGGUGGGCUUAACACAUGCUAGUCGUGCGAGAUCAGUAUCUUCGGAGAUGAGUAGAGCGGCGGACGGGUGAGUAACGCGUAGGAAUCUACCUACUAGAGGGGGAUAGCCCGGGGAAACUCGGAUUACUACCGUAUACCUCCUUCGGGAGAAAGAAGGCCUCUCUUUGAAGCUUUCGCUAUUAGAUGAGCCUGCCUAAGAUUAGCUUGUUGGUGAGGUAAAGGCUCACCAGGGCGACGAUCUUUAGCGGGUCUGAGAGGACGAUCCGCCACAUUGGGACUGAGACACGGCCCAGACUCCUACGGGAGGCAGCAGUGGGGAAUAUUGGACAAUGGGCGAAAGCCUGAUCCCUCCAUACCGCGUGUGUGAAGAAGGCCCGAGGGUUGUAAGGCACUUUAAGUUGGGAAGAAAAGUUAUUGGUUAACUACCCGAGAACCGUGACAUUACCAUCAGAAUAAUGACCGGCUAAUUCCGUGCCAGCAGCCGCGGUAAUACGGAAGGUCCGAGCGUUAAUCGGAAUUACUGGGCGUAAAGCGCGCGUAUGUGGUUUAUUAAGUUGGAUGUGAAAUCCCCGGGCUCAACCUGGGAACUGCAUCCAAAACUGAUUCACUAGAGUACGAUAGAGGGAGGUAGAAUUCACAGUGUAGCGGUGGAAUGCGUAGAUAUUGUGAAGAAUACCAAUGGCGAAGGCAGCCUCCUGGAUCUGUACUGACACUGAGGUGCGAAAGCGUGGGUAGCGAACAGGAUUAGAUACCCUGGUAGUCCACGCCGUAAACGAUGUCAACUAGCUGUUGGAAAACUAUGUUUUUCAGUGGCGCAGCUAACGUAGUAAGUUGACCGCCUGGGGAGUACGGCCGCAAGGCUAAAACUCAAAUGAAUUGACGGGGACCCGCACAAGCGGUGGAGCAUGUGGUUUAAUUCGAUGCAACGCGAAAAACCUUACCUAUACUUGACAUACUUGGAAUGCUUUGUAAUGAAGCAGUGCCUUCGGGAGCCAAGAUACAGGUGCUGCAUGGCUGUCGUCAGCUCGUGUCGUGAGAUGUUCCGUUAAGUCGGAUAACGAGCGCAACCCUUACCCUUAUUUGCCAGCGAUUCGGUCGGGAACUAUAAGGGGACUGCCGGUGAUAAACCGGAGGAAGGUGAGGACGACGUCAAGUCAUCAUGGCCCUUACGUAUAGGGCUACACACGUGCUACAAUGGAGAAUACAGACGGACGCUAAGCCGCGAGGUGGUGCUAAUCCUAGAAAAUUCUUCGUAGUCCGGAUUGGAGUCUGCAACUCGACUCCAUGAAGUCGGAAUCGCUAGUAAUCGCGAAUCAGCAUGUCGCGGUGAAUACGUUCUCGGGUCU
RNAcentral lists this ribosomal RNA (1358 nucleotides) under uncultured bacterium. Its description in RNAcentral is "bacterial SSU rRNA". It matches the Rfam family "Bacterial small subunit ribosomal RNA", at positions 28 to 1381 of the family's 1533-position model. The record is from RNAcentral.